This 6978-nucleotide long non-coding RNA is filed under the name Gallus gallus (chicken). Lineage: Eukaryota; Metazoa; Chordata; Aves; Galliformes; Phasianidae. The record is from RNAcentral.
ACCUGUAUAGCUACUGUUGCUUUUUGCAAAAUAUACUGUAGCUAGAUUUGCAAGUACUUGCAGUUAUUUUCUCUUUGUAUUUAUUCUGGUUGAAUAUAAUACAUACAUUAUUUUUUUUCCACUCUUCAAAAAAAAAAUUUUAAGAUAUUUAGAAUGGGAACUUACCUGCCUGCAGUAAAACAUACCCCAUUGGCAGAGCCAAUUGUAGAAAAGGCCACAAAGAGAGGUAUUAUCCAGGAGGCUGGAUAAAGGACUCUGUCUCCAAAUGUCUGGGAUAUGGGAUUAAAAUUAAUCAUUUUUGUUAUUUUAACUACUUUUUGAAAUAUUAAAAUGUUGGUGCCACUUCAAAAAUAGACUGUAUUUUUAUCAAUAAAAUGUGCAUUGUAUAUAUUCAGGAGCGUUUAGCCGAAUUAGAACUUGAAUUAAUUCAUGUAAGACUCUAUAAGGAAGAGUGGGAUAUUAUUGUCCUGGUGCUUUUGAUGCAGCGUGCGUAGGAAACACUGGGAGACAGAUGUGAAAAAUACACUGAAAUUCAAUUCAGUUUAACACUUGGUUUGGGGAUGUCUGCAAAACAAAACAGAAGAUGAUUGCUGCAGAGCACUGCACACAUACAGUCUAUAGAGAAAGAAUAAUAAUGGUAGUGAAGCUGUAACAUCUGAGGCAUUAUUAAGGGUGAAUAUGUGAAGGACAAACUUCGAAAGUUUACGGAGUAGGCCUGUGUCUUGUUACGCUGCUAGUUUCUACAAGAUGAAUUGGGACUAAUGUAGAUACAUUGGUCUGCUGUAGGAGAAUUUAAAUUUAGACUUGGACAGGAGGGAGAUUCUGAGUUUGUAUUUAACAGCUGAUUAACUUUUUAAAUAAGUCAAGAAUAAAGAGUUCCACUUCUGCUCAAGCUUAACAUCGGAGUAUAGUUGCUUUAUCCGGUAGCUGGGUACUCAUCAGUACAUAGAGAGAUGUGUUUAUACAGAGCACUCGUUUUGCUGUUUGCUGCGUUACUUUUGUACUGCCCAGUAGCAGUUGAUAUUUUCUUCAUCUUAUCACUACAUUGCUAGUUCUGUGCUAGCUUACAACAGGUUGUCAGCUUAGUGGUACCCCAGAGAGAAGUGGUUCUUUAUCAGCAUAAAACUUUGGGUUAGCUAGCGUACCUCUUAGUGGAGGAAUAACUAACAAAGAUAACUAAAUUGCGUCAGAAUUACGCAAUUUGCAAAAUGCAUAAAAUUUGCAAAAUUACAAAAUGCAAUCCUAUUAUUUAAAGGAUUUCCAUGUGAUUGUUGAGUAUUUUUUUAUGUUAAUGUACUUAAUUGUGUUACACUGCCUUCUGCAUGCAUAUGGGGUGCUCUUUGUUUUUAUGUAAAACUAACAGCAGGAACUUGCUACAGUGCAGGGAUCAGUGGUUUGGGAGACAGAUGCCCCCUGGAAAAUAUAAUGAGUGGAACUGGAGGGACAGAUGUGUUUAUAUAAAUUUCCAGAAUCUUAAGAAUAAUCUUUAAUGAAUUUUGGCAAUGGUAUGUCUUGUAGUAAUGAAAAAAUGAUUUCUCUUAAUCAUGUUAAGAUAAAACUAGAUCUAAUGAGGAAGUAAACUACAGCUGACUUCUACCUUCAGAAUGGUUGGUUUUAUUCAUUUUUACUGCAGAAGAAGCUUUACUGCACACAGCCUUCUUCAGAUACUUUUUUUACGAAGUAAGGAGACUUACCACAGCAACGGCCUGGGACUGCAGGAGUUCUGUUGAAGUCAUUACGGUGAAAUAUGAAAUGUUUAUCAGAACGUAACAAAUUGUAACCAAGGGGAUUCCAAUAAUUAUAGAUAGUGGUAGAUUUCUAAAGAAUGCAAAAGUAAGACUUCAUUAGCAUUGCUGUGUCAUUGUCAUUGUUACUGUAGUAAACUGGACUUUUUUUUUUCCCCAGAUAUUCUUCAGGUAUGUUUACGUCCCUUUACUGUAGAGCAACAGAAAUCAGGAUUAAAACAAGAAAUCGCAUUUAUGAAAGCCAGAAUAUGUGAUAGCUCUUUGUCUGCUAGUACUCCAACUUUGAGUAGCAUUCCUAUUGAUGUCAAGCCAAAAUGUCCUUGCUUGUACAAAAAUUGAGUUUUAAUUUUUAUUGCUAAGAAUAUAACUUUCUUAUGUAUUUUUUUUACCUGUAAGGAUUCUUCAGUUCUUCUGUGAUGUAAUUGAGUUGAUUCCUGAAAGUAAAGGUAUUAAUAAGAUGUUACUAGCAAUCAGAUGUUAUUUCUUGUUAGUUUGCCUUUCCAGUUAAAAAUAAUAAUAAUUAAAAAGAAUAGUUGAACUGCUGGUCCAAACAAAAAAAAUAUGAAUUUCUUAUCCAACUGUGAGCCUCGAGUAACUAACUUUUUCCUCCUUAAAGUUUUGAUGCAUCCUGCAAUUGCAGAAGUGCCUGUAUAAUUUUGAAUUGAGGUUGUCUUAGCUCCUGGGUAUAAUGUCCUGGAAUAACCAGAUAUUUCCUUUGAGCUUCAAGUUUGCAAUAUCUAAUCUUUUCAAGUAAAAGCACUAGUUCACUGUGCCCAUUGCAAGGACUCAAGUUUAAGUCUACUAAUUUUAACAAUAUCUCUUCAAGUUGUGAUGUAAACACCUUAAAUUGGAAUUUACAGAUCUAGAUGCACAUUUUCAGUAGACCACGGACAACAUUGAAACUUUUUUUACUCUUCUGUUUCUGAAAACAUGAGAAGAAAUUCAUAUUUAUAGCUUGCCAGGCAGCUUUUGAAAUUUCAGUCCCUGAUGGCUUUUGAAGUAAUUAUUCAGGAUUCAGGCUGCAGCUCCCCCCCCCCCCAAAAAAAACCAAAAAAAAAAAACAAAACCUCUAGAUAAAAAACUCUAGGUAAGUAUCUGAAACGCAGAUGUGCAUGCUUGAGUUGAGAGCCUCAAGCUUGGAAAGAGAACCUGAAAGAGCAAUCAAUUUAAAUUUGGUCUGAUAUUUUGUCUGAAUUUGAUUUCUUUUCCUGUAAGUAAAGAUUUAUAUUCUUAAUUCCUUUAAAAAUAUGUAUCUAUUUGCAAGACUUGACAGUCUGAAUGUUGAAGAAUAGCAUUAAUGGAUUGGAUCUCGAUCUUAGAUUUGUACCAGCAGAGCCUCAAACCAGUUUAUGUUCCUGUUAGUUCCAGGAAGUGAAAUGCAUAUUUUCUGGAUUGUACAGAGAUUAUCUAUAUUCCUCUAGUAAGUAAGUUUAUUCUGAUGAAAGUAAUAGUGGAAAGGUAGCCUUCUGAGUUAUUGAAUAUGGACGCUUCAUAUAGAACAUGAAUGUAAACCUAAAACCUUCCUUAUGUGAUUAUUUCAAACGUAUUUUCUUUGUACUAACACAAGAUAACAAAACAGAUGAGAUUUAAAACGGAAGCUUCUCAGGGAAGGAAGCUUUAUUGUUACUGUGUUAAUUCCAACUAACGAUCAAGAAGAAAAAAUGUAAAACCAUGCGAAUUAAAACUUCUAUUAUUUAUGUUCUCUUGUUCUAAUUGAAUGCUUCAUAAAGCAUGGACUUCAGGGGUAACCUGUAGAGCUUUUGCCUGAACUAAUGGAAUUAGCCGUUUUUGUGUCUCUCAUUACUAUGGUAUCUAACCACCUUUAGCACCAAAGCAGUAGCCCUUUCAGGAUCUACUAUAAAAUCUUUCCCUCUUAAUGGAUAUAUUUUUUUAACUGAGGAUACUAUUCUUUGUCCACAAUUUGUUAAGAGAUUUACUUAUGAAAAUCAGAUGUUAACUUGCAUCUUUUGAGUUCUACUGGGGUAGAGAGUUAAAGGCUGUUAAACUGUAACUGUUAACGCUUGUAAAGAUACCUUACCAUCCAUCAUAUGCCCAGAGUCCAUUAUAGAAUGCCAAACCAAUAGAGCUAACAGAAAUUUUACUGUCCUUGAAAGAAUCUUGGAAGUUUUGGGUUUUUCCUGGAAAUAAGACAAAUGUUAGUGACAAAAUGUUGCAAUCUGGCUAAUCACCACUAGAUGAAGAAAAACUCCAGUAUCUGCUGGGUCUUUUGAAACAUUUUGUUAAAAAUGAAUUCAUAGAAUUUUUAUGGACUUAGUGGUAGUAUUGAAAUUCUUACCGCAGUUCUUGUAAAAGAAAGUACUGUAGUUUCAAAGAGACUUUGGGACAGCAACACUGAAGAAAGAUAGCCUUAUUUUUGUGCCAUUUUUGUCAGUAGGAAGCUCUUAAAGAUCACAGCAGAAACUAAAAUAAUUGUUGGAAGUGAAUGUAUAUUUGAUUACCUUGUGCAAGGAGAACAAUCCCAGUUACAGCAAUGAUUGCCACAACUACCAUUUUGGCAGCUGUGAGUAAAUUCUGGAGGUAGCUUCCCAGCUUCACACUCAGAGAAUUCACUACUGUAAUUACCACUAAAAGAAAGAAAUUCAUACGUCUUGCAUUAAAUUUAUCUGAAAGAAAAGUAGGUUUAAGCAUUUUUUUCUAUGUAACUCAUACAAUUUAUAACAAAUGAUUGGUUGAUUUAAAUUAGUGAGGAGAAAGUUACUGAAUUAGAUAUCUACCUUUAACAGUAACAACAAAAUUAUGUACAUAGUAACUGCACUGCAUUGUGAUAAAUACAGAAAUACCUUCGCUAACAUUUUUUCUUUCUUUUCUGCUACAGAUGAGUGUUUGUUAUAUGGCUUUAUUUUUCUUGGUAAAGAAGAAACCUAGGCUAGAAGCAAACCAUCUACCUUGUGUAUUGAGUCAGUGAGUCCUUCCCACAAUUACUAUAUUGUUCCAAAAUUAAAAUAGUUAUUAGUACUUCAAAAAUAAUAAAAAUUAAACAUUGUUCCAUAGUUCUGUUCCUUUCAGUGUAGCAUUGCUUCCUGCCGUCCUCAUAAGGAUUAAUGUACUGAAUUCUUACUAUUCUGAAAUGGUUGAGGGUAAGCAGAAGUUGCUUGGCAAUUAGGGAAUUUGUCACUUAUAAAAUAACUAAGAAGUCUUACCAAUGGCAGCUGCUGCAAGGCACUUGAUGACUACUGGAGGUGGAUCACAACCUGGAUAAAAGGGAGCUGAUGCAUAUUCUGCAAAGCUGAGACAUAUGAUAGCGAAAGAACUGGGUUUUAUGACAAGCAAGCUUGCCCAAGAAAACAGAAAUGCUGGUAUUGGGCCAAAGGCCUCCAUAAGUGUUGCCAGAACUCCACAGGCUGCCCAGAUGGUUAAACAAGGACCCACAGCUCCAACAUUGGCAAGUACUGAUUUUGGGGAAACAAAGAUGCCUGAGCCAAUAAUUGUACCAACGAUCAUACAGAUUCCACUAAUCAGGCCCACCUUGAAAUAAAAGGAGACAUUUUGGUGAAGUAAUUUCCAAUAACUAGUUUUCAAUUUCAUACAACAAUAGUAAUUGACAUCAGUGAUUUGUUGUAGCUUUUGACAUGAAGUUUCAACUAACUAGUAAACUAUGGAAUUUCUUUUCUUCCAAGUACAUACAUGGGCUGUGGCAUGCCAGCUUGCAUAUUUGUUUUCAUAAACCAUCCUUUGAAUUAUGUGGGUCUCAAAAUUAACUUCGUAUGAGUUAGCAGUUCUCUUUUCUCUAUUUAAAUUAAGCAUCGCAUUUUGGUGAACACUUAGAAUUCUGAAUUUUUGUAGCUUCUAAGAUAUGCCUUCUUGGAGGACUUCUGCCCUUUUUCUUUAAGCAGUUGCUCUGCUCUCCUUGCUUCAGGUAUUUUUGUGCAGGGAAAGUACCUUAAUAUUGAUACAUGGUGAAAAGAUUACAUUCUCCAGACUUUGUAGCGACCUGCAUAUUAGAUGAAUGUAAUAAAACUUGAGGCUCAAAAGUCAAUAGCAUGGGCGUCUUAAAUUGUCCUUAUUAAGUUAUAGCUAGUCUAAUAGCAUCAGUAUUUUGCCAGUCCAGGUUCUUAGCACAUAAAUGAAGCUAUACAGAGUAUCAUUUUCCAGGUUGCUUAAACUGAAAGAUAAAUUACAGUUCCCUUUAGGAGUCUCAUCAGAGGUAAAAGAAGUGGCAUAUCCUUUCUGUUAAAGCAUCUGUCAUUUUCUGGAGAAGAAAAAUUACCAUUUGUCUUCCUGUACCAUUAGCUAUUGUACGGACAUAAACACUAGCACACUUGCAGAAGCUGUGAGCUGAACCCAGCUCUGUUCAGCCUCUGAGAAGUUUGUGUAGAAAGAAUUAGUAAAGUUGUGAUGUUAUGCUGAGCAAUUCUGAAGUAUAAAAUAUUAAACAAGUAAUUUUAAGACUUGAAAAUCAUAUAUUCUUUCUUUUAAUUGUGUUUAUAUCAGAGCUAUAUGCAUAGUAGUUAAUGAGUUCAUAAAAUGUAAUUCAACCACACCACGAAGAUCCUAGUAUGCUGUUGCAAAUAAGAGCAGUUUCAACUUCUGUAAGAGGAUACAUCGUCACACAUACAUUCUUACUGUCUCCCUGUGCCAGCCCUUCACAUGUGCAUGUUAAGGGAGUGGGUGUUGGCAUUUACCUGUUUUUUUAGGUUCAUAGAUUGGGGUUCCUGACUCUGAAUGGAUUGUCCAUCCUCCUUUCUGUUGUCCUGUUCUUUUCUUUUCCUCAAGCUUCCUUCACCCAUUUGAAGUACUUAUUUAAAUAUCUAAAUAAAGGAAAAAAAUCAGUGUAGUCUCUCUCCUUUGAAUGCCUCUAGGAGACCAGGCUGAUUGAAUCUUUCACUUAAAGCUAGCUUGUUUUCUUAUUGAAGAGUGAUAACUUCUGAUCUUUGUUAAAUUAGGCCUUUUCCUGAUUUCUUGGAGAUGCAAAUAUAUUAGACCAGAUGUCAUUUCCUGUAACUGUCUAAUUAGCAGCUCUUUGCUUCAGAAAGUGUUGCUGUUCUCUGUGUUGACUCAAGGUGAAUGUUUUCUACUGAACAUUGUAUUCCGUUUGGAAUUAGUCUGUAAACAAUUUGACUUUAAAAAGUUAAUUUUAGACUUGUGAAUGUAUCUUCUUGGGAAUUUGGCUUGUUUCACACAGUAUUGGAAUAAAAUCCAACCUGAAGUAGUGAUGGAAGUGGAGGUUAGGAUAGAUUAGUCCUGAUUGCCACUGUUGAUUCACUCAGUCUCC